UGGGUGUAGCGUACCUACUAGCCUACGACGGGUACGGGUUGUGAGAGCAAGAGCCCGGAGAUGGAUUCUGAGACACGAAUCCAGGCCCUACGGGGUGCAGCAGGCGCGAAAACUUUACAAUGCUGGCAACAGCGAUAAGGGAACCUCGAGUGCCAGGUUACAAAUCUGGCUGUCGAGAUGCCUAAAAAGCAUUUCAUAGCAAGGGCCGGGCAAGACCGGUGCCAGCCGCCGCGGUAACACCGGCGGCUCGAGUGGUAACCGUUAUUAUUGGGUCUAAAGGGUCUGUAGCCGGCCGGAUAAGUCUCUUGAGAAAUCUGGCAGCUUAACUGUCAGGCUUUCAGGAGAUACUGUCUGGCUCGAGGCCGGGAGAGGUGAGAGGUACUUCAGGGGUAGGGGUGAAAUCUUGUAAUCCUUGAAGGACCACCAGUGGCGAAGGCGUCUCACCAGAACGGACCUGACGGCAAGGGACGAAAGCUAGGGGCACGAACCGGAUUAGAUACCCGGGUAGUCCUAGCCGUAAACGAUACUCGCUAGGUGUCGGCCACGGUGCGACCGUUGUCGGUGCCGUAGGGAAGCCGUGAAGCGAGCCACCUGGGAAGUA
Molecule: ribosomal RNA, 601 nt
Filed under: uncultured archaeon
Lineage: Archaea
Description: bacterial SSU rRNA
Rfam family: Archaeal small subunit ribosomal RNA
Source: RNAcentral